This 468-nucleotide ribosomal RNA is filed under the name uncultured bacterium. RNAcentral's name for it is "partial 16S ribosomal RNA". It matches the Rfam family "Bacterial small subunit ribosomal RNA", at positions 28 to 507 of the family's 1533-position model. The record is from RNAcentral.
GACGAACGCUGGCGGCGUGCUUAACACAUGCAAGUCGAACGGAAAGGCCCUGCUUUUGUGGGGUGCUCGAGUGGCGAACGUGUGAGUAACACGUGAUUAACCUGCCCUUGACUUUGGGAUAACUUCAGGAAACUGGGGCUAAUACCUGAUAGGAGCUCCUGCUGCAUGGUGGGGGUUGGAAAGUUUCGGCGGUUGGGGAUGGACUCGCGGCUUAUCAGCUUGUUGGUGGGGUAGUGGCUUACCAAGGCUUUGACGGGUAGCCGGCCUGAGAGGGUGACCGGCCACAUUGGGACUGAGAUACGGCCCAGACUCCUAAGGGAGGCAGAAGGGGGGAAUAUUGCACAAUGGGCGGAAGCCUGAGGCAGCAACGCCGAGUGCGGGAUGACGGCCUUCGGGUUGUAAACCGCUUUCGCCUGUGACGAAGCGUGAGUGACGGUAAUGGGUAAAGAAGCACCGGCUAACUACGUG